UGGGGAAUUUUGCACAAUGGGGGAAACCCUGAUGCAGCGACGCCGCGUGAUUUAGAAGGCCUUCGGGUUGUAAAAAUCUUUUCUAUGGGAAGAAAAUGACAGUACCAUAGGAAUAAGGACCGGCAAAUUACGUGCCAGCAGCCGCGGUAAUACGUAAGGUCCGAGCGUUGUCCGGAAUCAUUGGGCGUAAAGGGUACGUAGGCGGGUAAGCAAGUUAGAAGUGAAAUCCUAUAGCUCAACUAUAGUAAGCUGUUAAAACUGCUCAUCUUGAGGUAUGGAAGGGAAAGUGGAAUUCCUAGUGUAGCGGUGAAAUGCGCAGAUAUUAGGAGGAAUACCGGUGGCGAAGGCGACUUUCUGGCCAUAACCUGACGCUGAGGUACGAAAGCGUGGGUAGCAAACAGG
Molecule: ribosomal RNA, 402 nt
Filed under: bacterium
Lineage: Bacteria
Description: partial 16S ribosomal RNA
Rfam family: Bacterial small subunit ribosomal RNA
Source: RNAcentral